GCCGGCCUAGCUCAAUUGGUAGAGCAACUGACUUGUAAUCAGUAGGUUGGGGGUUCAAGUCCUCUGGCCGGCACCG
This 76-nucleotide transfer RNA is filed under the name Staphylococcus pseudintermedius. RNAcentral describes it as "tRNA-Thr". It matches the Rfam family "tRNA". Rfam says of the family: Transfer RNA (tRNA) molecules are approximately 80 nucleotides in length. The record is from RNAcentral. Lineage: Bacteria; Bacillati; Bacillota; Bacilli; Caryophanales; Staphylococcaceae.